RNAcentral lists this ribosomal RNA (253 nucleotides) under uncultured bacterium. Its description in RNAcentral is "partial 16S ribosomal RNA". It matches the Rfam family "Bacterial small subunit ribosomal RNA", at positions 524 to 776 of the family's 1533-position model. The record is from RNAcentral.
UACGGGGGGGGCAAGCGUUGUUCGGAAUUACUGGGCGUAAAGGGUUCGUAGGCGGGAGCUUAAGUCAUGUGUGAAAUCCCCAGGCUCAACCUGGGACGUGCACGUGAAACUGAGCUUCUUGAAUCUUGGAGAGGGUGAUGGAAUUGCUGGUGUAGGAGUGACAUCCGUAGAGAUCAGCAGGAACACCGGAGGCGAAGGCGAUCACCUGGCCAAAGAUUGACGCUGAGGAACGAAAGCGUGGGGAGCAAACAGG